Long non-coding RNA from Alnus glutinosa, 434 nucleotides. RefSeq lists it as uncharacterized. The transcript has 2 exons. Lineage: Eukaryota; Viridiplantae; Streptophyta; Magnoliopsida; Fagales; Betulaceae. The record is from RefSeq and is a predicted model, not a curated record.
CCUCAUCAUAAUCAGUAUAGGGAUUCUUUCCCAUGGAACCGCGGAACCGAGCAAGCUCUUCCUUGACACGUGAGAGAAUAACCUCUGUUCGCCGCAGCUUGGCACUAAGCAUGAAGCUCCAAUUCCAGCUCUUCUCUUUGCAACCGUUGUCGUUCGGCUUCUUCUUUAAGAAUGUUAACCUUCAAAGUGGGGACCAGUGAGGCAUGAUAACAAUAAAAGCACAAGAGGAAUUUGUAAUUAAUUCAAAACUACCUUGUUCUCCAAUACAUUUACAGUACAUUCUAGCUCUUCAACAGAUCUCUCUAAUAACUUCACCUCGGCUUCCUUGUCCUCAGCGUAGAUCAUUCUUGAUUCAGCUACCUGAAGUUGAUGUAACAAAAUAGUAUUUGGGACAUGAAAAGCAAUAAAGUAUUUCACAAAGUUUGAGUGUUAAA